GACAAAAGCCUGUUAUUCAUUCAACGAACAAAGGAUUAAGUCUGGCCCACGAUUAACAGCAUCAUGUAACUGCUGCUAAUCUUUGGACUGGAGAGAUGCUGAAUGUUCGGUGAGUAACAGAAAGAAAAGAGUGUGAACAAAUUAAUAUUCCCUACAAAAAGAAAAGAAAAAAAAGUUAGAAAACAAAAUAAUUAUUAGUGAAACUUAUUUUGUUACUUUUCUUUUCAUUGAAUCUUACUAAUUCGCUAAAAAGCAAAAAAGAAAAGAAAAAAGAAAGAGUGAACGAGAGAGAAAGCGUGUGCAUGUGCGAAUGAGAGAGAGAGAAAUUGAGUAAGUGUCAGAGAAUAUCAUGUUGGUGCUGUUUGUCAUUUAUCUUUUUUUAUUUUUUAUUUCUUCUGUCCACCCUUCUCUCACUUCACCUGCUUAAUCUAUCGGCGAGGAGCUGAGUGAUGAGGCUGGGUAAGUUGGUAAGCUUGCAUUAGAGUGACUGGCGUGAGAUUCCUUCUCUGUUGUGAACCGGCCGGCUGCUACCUACUGGACCUAAGUUAAGGCUUGUAUGAAAAUAGAGAUAGCAAGUAAAUACAUGCCUGAACGAAAACUAUCUUUUUGACAAGCUGCCAUGCUCUCUGCUGUCUGUUUUUGUUAUGGUUCUCUUUUUCUCUAUCGUCAAUGUUUUUGUUAUGACCCCCCCUCCUUUCUUCCCUCUCUUAUUAGUCUAUCAUUUCUUUGUGUUUAUGAGGGGCACGAUAAAAUUGGCUCUCAUUACUAUUGACAUGUCUGAUGUUGCGUUGUGAUGAUUAGGGGUACAGAUUGAAAUGAAUAGAUUUAUCCAACACGAAAAUUCUUCAUCGAUGUGUAACAGGGUAUGUCCAUCUCUCAUCACCAUCCGUCCUUUCGACCUCCUGCUGUCCUUAUCCUUGUUAUGUGUGUCAGUAGCACUGUAAAACGAGAUGUAAGUAACCGACGAAGUGAAUGGCAUGUGUGUCGCCAGACUGAUUGAUACGCAUGGUUUGUUGUUGACAGAAGUUCUUUCAAAUGAAUGAAUGAAUGGGAUAUUUUGAAGUAUUUAUUAAAUAUGCACGAAAUAAAUAAACUGUACUGCUGGAUCUGCCAACCAUACCGCCCACCUACUAUACUGAUCUUGAUUGAAUAUAGUACACGAGAUAAUGUAUGCACACUUCAACCUAUGUUCGUUUUCUGGAUUGAAGUGACAAUGAUGGUGAUAAUAGUUAUGUUUGCGUGUGUCGCGGGGUUUAUUGGCUGUCAGUUUAUGUAUAAAGUCAUGAUUUAUAUGCAUGUUUGUACACGCGCGCGCAUGCACACAUGCAAACACACACACUUGCACUUUUCUUUUAUAUGUACUUCUUUUAUUACACACGUUUAUAAACUUACAUGCACGAGCCUUUACGUGAUUGCUUAGAUUUGCUGCAAAUAGCGACCGAAUCUCCCUCAAAUCACACCUUACCGUUUUCUUAAAGAAGGUUGUGUCUGAAAAGAUGGGAUGGUCGCGACGGGAAUUCUUUGAUUAUGAAGGCUGACCCAAGACCAAACAACAACAAUAACAACUUAUAUUCAUAGAUUCAAACAUGACUGCUUUUUAUCUUUUAUUGAUUUUAUUAAUAAUACAUGUGGUAACACAAUCCAGUGCUUUCUAAUAUUUUUUUUCCUAUAAUGUUGCGUGUGUGUUGUGUGUGUAGGGAUGGAUAUACAUGAAGGGACCAAUUGAAUAGUUAUCAUUUCAUCAUGACUACCCUUACGAAAUAUAUUCAUUUUGUUUCGUUUAUUUUUCUUUGCUUUUCUUAUUUUAUUUUCCGUGGAUUACAUUUUUUUUCUUCUAUAACG
RNAcentral lists this long non-coding RNA (1842 nucleotides) under Octopus vulgaris (common octopus). Lineage: Eukaryota; Metazoa; Mollusca; Cephalopoda; Octopoda; Octopodidae. The record is from RNAcentral.